This 274-nucleotide ribosomal RNA is filed under the name uncultured bacterium. RNAcentral describes it as "partial 16S ribosomal RNA". It matches the Rfam family "Bacterial small subunit ribosomal RNA", at positions 523 to 796 of the family's 1533-position model. The record is from RNAcentral.
AUACAGAGGGUGCAAGCGUUAAUCGGAAUUACUGGGCGUAAAGCGCGCGUAGGCGGUUUGUUAAGUUGGAUGUGAAAGCCCCGGGCUUAACCUGGGAGGGUCAUUCAAAACUGGCAGACUAGAGUGUGGUAGAGGGUAGUGGAAUUCCUAGUGUAGCGGUGAAAUGCGUAGAGAUUAGGAGGAACACCAGUGGCGAAGGCGACUGCCUGGACCAACACUGACGCUGAGGUGCGAAAGCGUGGGUAGCGAACAGGAUUAGAAACCCGAGUAGUCC